CCUACGGGUGGCAGCAGUAGGGGAUCUUCCACAAUGGACGAAAGUCUGAUGGAGCAACGCCGCGUGAGUGAAGAAGGAUUUCGGCUCGUAAAGCUCUGUUGGUAGUGAAGAAAGAUAUAGGUAUUAAUUGGCCUUUAUUUGACGGUAAUUACUUAGAAAGUCACGGCUAACUACGUGCCAGCAGCCGCGGUAAUACGUAGGUGGCAAGCGUAGUCCGGAUUUAUUGGGGGUAAAGCGAGUGCAGGCGGGUCAACAAGUCUGAUGUGAAAGCCUUGGGCUCAACCGGAGAAGUGCAUCAGAAACUGUUGGACUGGAGUGCAGAAGAGGAGAGUGGAACUCCAUGUGUAGCGGUGGAAUGCGUAGAUAUAUGGAAGAACACCAGUGGCGAAGGCGGCUUUCUGGUCUGCAACUGACGCUGAGGCUCGAAAGCAUGGGUAGCGAACAGGAUUAGAUACCCGGGUAGUC
This 465-nucleotide ribosomal RNA is filed under the name uncultured bacterium. Its description in RNAcentral is "partial 16S ribosomal RNA". It matches the Rfam family "Bacterial small subunit ribosomal RNA", at positions 338 to 795 of the family's 1533-position model. The record is from RNAcentral.